GUUUAAUUUAUAAACUAGAAUGCCAAUUUCUUUCAUUUACAGUAAAAGAUGUUCCAGAUAUAUAAAUAAGAAAUGGUAGUGAAGGCCCAUACUCAGGAGGCCAGGGUUUGACUCCUGACGACACCACUUCCUAGUUGUGUGACCUCAGGAGCUACUUUCCUUCCAGGGAACCCAUUGUUAAUAAUGCAAACAAGGACAUCACCUUAGGGGACAGCGGAGCCACAGUAUAACAGAAACCUGCAUCUCUGAAGGACUCUGGCGGGCAGAGCACCCAGGAACCUGACCGCUUCCCUUGGGACUGUUGUUUUACAGUGUUGUGUUAGUUUCUACUGUACAGCAAGAGAUGAAUGGAUAAAGAAGAUGUGGUACAUAUAUACAAUGGAAUAUUACUCAGCCAUAGAAAGGAACAAAAUUGGGUCAUUUGUAGAGAUGUGGAUGGACCUAGAGACUGUCAUACAGAGUGAAGUUGACUUGGAGGAUGGUGGAGUAGAAGGACAUGUGCUCACCUCCUCUUGCAAGAGCACUGAAAUCACAACUAACUGCUGAACAACCAUCAACAGGAAGACACUGGAACCCACAAAAAAGAUACCCCAAAGACAAAGGAGAAGCUGCAAUGAGACGGUAGGAGGGGCACAAUCAUGAUAAAAUCAAAUCCCAUAUUUGAAGAGAUAAUAGCUGAAAACUUCCCUAACAUGGGAAAGGAAACAGUCAACCAAGUCAAAGAAGCACAGAGAGUCCCAGGCUGGAUAAACCCAAGGAAGAACAUGCUGAGACACAUAGUAAUCAAAUGAACAAAAGUUAAAGACAAAAAAUAUUAAAAGCAACAAGGGAAAAAUGACAAAUAACAUACAAUGGAACUCCCAUAAGGUUAUCGGCUGAUUUCUCAGCAGAAACUCUGCAAGCCAGAAGGGAGUGGCACGAUAUAUUUAAAUUGAUGAAAGGGAAGAAACUACAACCAAGAAUACUCUACUGAGAAAGGCUCUCAUUCAGAUUUGAUGGAGAAAUCAAAAGCUUUAGAGACAAGCAAAAGCUGAGAGAAUUCACCACCACCAGGCCAGAUUUGCAACAAAUGCUAAGGGAACUCCUCUAGGCGGGAAAGAGACUAGCAACUUAAACAAACAAACAAACAAAACCAAAAAAAUAAAAAACCUUGUACACAGACUGUUAUAUCAAAACCUCAUGGGAACAACAAACCCAAAAACUACAAAAGAAACACACAAAAGAAAAAGCAACCCAAACACAACACUAAAGAUGGUCAUCAAAUCACAAGAGAAAAGAACAAACAAGAAAGGGAAGAAAAAAGACCUACAAAACCAAAACCAAAACAGUUAAGAAAAUGACAAUAAGAAGACAGGUAUCGAUAAUUACCUUAAAUGUAGAUGGAUUAAAUGCACCAACCAAAAGACAUAGACUGGCAGAGUGGAUACAAAAACAAUACUCGAAUAUAUACUGUGUACAAGAGCCCCACCUCAGACCCAGGGACACAUACAGACCGAAAGUGAGGGGAUGGAAGAAGCUAUUCCAUGCAAAUGGAAAUCGAAAGCUGGAGUAGCAAUACUCAUAUCAGACAAAACAGAUUUUAAAGUAAAGACUGGUAUAAGAGACAAGGACAUUACAUAAUGAUCAAGGGAUCAAGAAGAAGAUAUAACAAUUGUAAAUAUAUAUGCACCCAACAUAGGAGCACCUAUAACAAUAUAGUGGGGGACUUUAACACCCCACUUUUAUCAAUGGACAGAUCAUCCAGACAGAAAAUCAAUAAGGAAACACAGGCCUUAAAUGACACAUUAGACCAGAUGGACUUAAUUGAUAUUUAUAGAGCAUUCCAUCCAAAAGCAGCAGAAUACUUUCUUCUCAAGUGCACACAGAACAUUCUCCAGGAUUGACCACAUGCUGGGCCACAAGGC
This is a long non-coding RNA of Physeter macrocephalus (sperm whale), 1904 nucleotides long. RefSeq lists it as uncharacterized. NCBI's taxonomy places the organism in Eukaryota, Metazoa, Chordata, Mammalia, Artiodactyla, Physeteridae. The transcript has 4 exons. The record is from RefSeq and is a predicted model, not a curated record.